GACGAACGCUGGCGGCGUGCUUAACACAUGCAAGUCGAACGGAAAGGCACUGCUAUUGUGGGGUGCUCGAGUGGCGAACGGGUGAGUAACACGUGAGUAACCUGCCCUUGACUUUGGGAUAACUUCAGGAAACUGGGGCUAAUACCGGAUAGGAGCUCCUGCUGCAUGGUGGGGGUUGGAAAGUUUCGGCGGUUGGGGAUGGACUCGCGGCUUAUCAGCUUGUUGGUGGGGUAGUGGCUUACCAAGGCUUUGACGGGUAGCCGGCCUGAGAGGGUGACCGGCCACAUUGGGACUGAGAGACGGCCCAGACUCCUACGGGAGGCAGCAGUGGGGAGUAUUGCACAAUGGGCGGAAGCCUGAUGCAGCAACGCCGCGUGCGGGAUGACGGCCUGCGGGUUGUGAACCGCUUUCGCCUGUGACGAAGCGUUAGUGACGGUAAUGGGUAAAGAAGCACCGGCUAACUACGUG
This 468-nucleotide ribosomal RNA is filed under the name uncultured bacterium. RNAcentral describes it as "partial 16S ribosomal RNA". It matches the Rfam family "Bacterial small subunit ribosomal RNA", at positions 28 to 507 of the family's 1533-position model. The record is from RNAcentral.